UGGUGGGUAGUUUGACUGGGGCGGUCUCCUCCCAAAGAGUAACGGAGGAGCACGAAGGUUGGCUAAUCCUGGUCGGACAUCAGGAGGUUAGUGCAAUGGCAUAAGCCAGCUUGACUGCGAGCGUGACGGCGCGAGCAGGUGCGAAAGCAGGUCAUAGUGAUCCGGUGGUUCUGAAUGGAAGGGCCAUCGCUCAACGGAUAAAAGGUACUCCGGGGAUAACAGGCUGAUACCGCCCAAGAGUUCAUAUCGACGGCGGUGUUUGGCACCUCGAUGUCGGCUCAUCACAUCCUGGGGCUGAAGUAGGUCCCAAGGGUAUGGCUGUUCGCCAUUUAAAGUGGUACGCGAGCUGGGUUUAGAACGUCGUGAGACAGUUCGGUCCCUAUCUGCCGUGGGCGCUGGAGAACUGAGGGGGGCUGCUCCUAGUACGAGAGGACCGGAGUGGACGCAUCACUGGUGUUCGGGUUGUCAUGCCAAUGGCACUGCCCGGUAGCUAAAUGCGGAAGAGAUAAGUGCUGAAAGCAUCUAAGCACGAAACUUGCCCCGAGAUGAGUUCUCCCUGAG
RNAcentral lists this ribosomal RNA (561 nucleotides) under Salmonella enterica subsp. enterica. RNAcentral describes it as "partial 23S ribosomal RNA". It matches the Rfam family "Bacterial large subunit ribosomal RNA", at positions 2259 to 2819 of the family's 2925-position model. Lineage: Bacteria; Pseudomonadati; Pseudomonadota; Gammaproteobacteria; Enterobacterales; Enterobacteriaceae. The record is from RNAcentral.